This 253-nucleotide ribosomal RNA is filed under the name uncultured bacterium. Its description in RNAcentral is "partial 16S ribosomal RNA". It matches the Rfam family "Bacterial small subunit ribosomal RNA", at positions 524 to 776 of the family's 1533-position model. The record is from RNAcentral.
UACAGAGGUCUCAAGCGUUGUUCGGAUUCAUUGGGCGUAAAGGGUGCGUAGGCGGCGCGGUAAGUCGGGUGUGAAAUCUCGGGGCUUAACUCCGAAACUGCAUUCGAUACUGCCGUGCUUGAGGACUGGAGAGGAGACUGGAAUUUACGGUGUAGCGGUGAAAUGCGUAGAUAUCAGGAGGAAUACCGAUGGCGAAGGCAGGUCUCUGGGCUGACACUGACGCUCAUGCACGAAAGCGUGGGGAGCAAACAGG